RNAcentral lists this non-coding RNA (29 nucleotides) under Rattus norvegicus (Norway rat). The record is from RNAcentral. Lineage: Eukaryota; Metazoa; Chordata; Mammalia; Rodentia; Muridae.
UCAGAGAUGAGACAAGACUGAACAGGAAU